AAGCAAGUCAUCAGAAACACAGAUGCUGUUAUUAUUAGUAUUACCAUUAUGCAAAUUUCUUUAGAACUAAAGAACAAGGGAAGAGAAAUAUAGAACAUAAAUGACAUGCAAGAAGAAUUGCCUCUAAGAAGGAUGCUUUUGAAGGUUUUCUAUGCAGCUCUUUAAAAUCAAUGGAGUAAUUAAAAGUGGAAAAAAAUAUGGUAGUGCAAGGAAAUAAAAAGACUAGGUCUGGAAAAUAUUAGAUAUCCCUGAAUACGGUUGGAACUAAUAACAAGCCUCAAAAAUGAAAAACAACAAGAGAAAAAAUUGCCUCAACAUAUUUCUUUGGUGCUUAAAAAAAUCUCCACUUGUAGUAUCUGAAGAGGAAGGAAGGAAGAUGCUUAAUUCCUGUGUUUUCCUGUUAUUCUACUGCCCCUGUACUUUUUGCCACUGAGAUGGCCAUGUAGGGCACAAGUGGAACUCAACAAAAAUGUGACUGGCAAGGUGGUGUGGUUCCAGAGUUCAUCUCUAUUGAAAGAAAAAGAAAAAGCAAGAAAUCAAAUCAUUCUUAUCAGAUGAGUCAAAGGGAAGCCUUAUUUCUACCUGGAAUCAUGCCUGCUGCCUCAAAGUUAUUCUCAUCUCAAGUCCUUUCUCUUCCAAGGUAGAGUUUUCUGUGCAGGAGCUGGACAAACAGGAAAGAAAGAUAAAAAGAAAUAAGAAAGGAAGGAAGGAAGGAAGGAAGAAAGGAAGGAAGAAAGGAAGGAAGGAAGGAAGGAAGGAAGGAAGGAAGGAAGGAAGGAAGGAAGGAAGGAAGGAAGGAAGGAAGGAAGGAAGGAAGGAAGGAAGGAAGGAAGGAAGGAAGGAAGGAAGGAAGGAAAGAGGAGGAAGGAAAGGAGGGAGAGAGCAAGGAAGAAAGGAAGAAAGCAAAGGAAGGAGGUAAGAAUAAAUAAUAUUUCUCAUAUUUAUCCA
This 948-nucleotide long non-coding RNA is filed under the name Monodelphis domestica (gray short-tailed opossum). RNAcentral describes it as "lncRNA (ENSMODG00000049087.1)". The record is from RNAcentral. Lineage: Eukaryota; Metazoa; Chordata; Mammalia; Didelphimorphia; Didelphidae.